CCUACGGGAGGCAGCAGUAGGGAAUCUUUCACAAUGGGCGAAAGCCUGAUGGAGCAACGCCGCGUGCAGGAUGAAGGCCUUCGGGUUGUAAACUGCUUUUAUAAGCGAGAAAUAUGAUGGUAACUUAUGAAUAAGGAUCGGCUAACUACGUUCCAGCAGCCGCGGUCAUACGUAGGAUCCGAGCAUUAUCCGGAGUGACUGGGUGUAAAGAGUUGCGUAGGUGGCAUAAUAAGUAGCUAGUGAAAUCUGGUGGCUCAACCAUUCAGACUAUUAGCUAAACUGUUAAGCUCGAGACCGUUAGGGGUAACUGGAAUUUCUAGUGUAGGGGUGAAAUCCGUAGAUAUUAGAAGGAACACCAAUAGCGUAGGCAGGUUGCUGGGACGGUUCUGACACUAAGGCACGAAAGCGUAGGGAGCAAACGGGAUUAGAUACUCGGGUAGUC
Molecule: ribosomal RNA, 442 nt
Filed under: uncultured bacterium
Lineage: Bacteria
Description: partial 16S ribosomal RNA
Rfam family: Bacterial small subunit ribosomal RNA
Source: RNAcentral